This 263-nucleotide unclassified non-coding RNA is filed under the name Hevea brasiliensis (rubber tree). Lineage: Eukaryota; Viridiplantae; Streptophyta; Magnoliopsida; Malpighiales; Euphorbiaceae. The record is from RNAcentral.
CUCCCAUCCCGUGGGAUGAGAGGCGCUUGUUUUACUUCGCGACGAAGCCUGCUUCAGUCAUGAGCGACUUGUUCAGGGCAUCGUCCUCUUCAAGGAAUUUGAGCACGUCCUUGCCGUUGAGAUAGACGGGCUUCAGCGCCUGCUUCUCCAUGUAUUCCUUGUAUUCGGUAGUCUGCGUCACCUUCUUGAACAGAUCGUCGUAGAAGGCGACCUGCUCGGGCGUCACCUUGCCGGGAAGGAACAUCGCGCGCAGCAUCAGGUAC